AUGAUAGAGGCGCACUAUGUCAUAAGUACCGUGCUUUAUACAGUUGCCGAAACUGCACGCGAAAGGGGCAGGUGCCGAAGCCGGUGUUGUGGCAUACACCUUGCUGGCAACUCAGAUAACAUCUGUUUUGCUGUCGCAGUAAUGCGGAGUGCUAUUC
RNAcentral lists this non-coding RNA (157 nucleotides) under human gut metagenome. RNAcentral describes it as "Lysine riboswitch". It matches the Rfam family "Lysine riboswitch aptamer". Rfam says of the family: Riboswitches are metabolite binding domains within certain messenger RNAs that serve as precision sensors for their corresponding targets. Allosteric rearrangement of mRNA structure is mediated by ligand binding, and this results in modulation of gene expression. RNAcentral also lists the same sequence under 1 other name. The record is from RNAcentral.